GUGCUAAAUUAGGCAGCACAUAUACUAAAAUUGGAAUGAUAUAGAGAAGAUUAGCAUUGCCCCUGGGCAAGGAUGACAGGCAAAUUCGUGGUCAUGGUAUUCCAUAUUUUA
Small nuclear RNA from Cricetulus griseus (Chinese hamster), 111 nucleotides. NCBI's taxonomy places the organism in Eukaryota, Metazoa, Chordata, Mammalia, Rodentia, Cricetidae. The record is from Ensembl.